RNAcentral lists this non-coding RNA (88 nucleotides) under Streptomyces sp. 150FB. RNAcentral's name for it is "sodF sRNA". It matches the Rfam family "sodF sRNA". From Rfam's summary of the family: Identified in Streptomyces coelicolor. It is produced from sodF mRNA by cleavage of about 90 nucleotides from its 3'UTR. Lineage: Bacteria; Bacillati; Actinomycetota; Actinomycetes; Kitasatosporales; Streptomycetaceae. The record is from Rfam by way of RNAcentral.
ACGUCCUGCUCGUGAUCGUCUUCUCACCCUUCACGGCGGGCGGAACAACGAAGGACCCCCACGAGGACAUGACUCGCGGGGGUCCUUC